RNAcentral lists this long non-coding RNA (1797 nucleotides) under Nicotiana benthamiana. RNAcentral's name for it is "long non-coding RNA (NBEN_LNC027448)". Lineage: Eukaryota; Viridiplantae; Streptophyta; Magnoliopsida; Solanales; Solanaceae. The record is from RNAcentral.
UAGCUAUGAUGAUGCCAGGAAAUCCAACCGGUGCAUAUUAUCCUCACAAAGGAAAAGUUUAGACGGAGAUCUCAAUAACUACAACAAACAACAACGAAUACGCCUCAAUCCCAAAUAGAGGGAGAUCCGAAUAUUAACCAAACUAGAGGGAACAAAGUCACACUAGUGUCAAAGAUUAGUACAAAGUACAAACUAUACCAUUUCCCUGUCCCUUACCUUCUUUUUUUUUUUGGCAUAAGGGAAGGUGCUCAGAAUUUCAGGAAAGGGAGAUGAAUAUAUACUGAUCAUGAUUAACUCCAUUGCACCAGACUUAUCUUACAAAGAAAUUAGCAUCUGUAGCCUGUUUUCGGUCUGCAUGAUGCUCAUACUGAAAAUUUACGAUCACAUUAAACACCCCCUGCAGUUAUCACUAUGCCCAUAAGUUUCCAACCACGUCCCUUGCUCCACGAAACAUAACUAUUAUCCGGUCAUCGUACUGUCGACCUCUUUCAUCUGUUCAAUCACCAAUUGGCUAGAUAAUUGGUUCACUCCAUCUGUUCAAUCCCCUGGCAUACCCAAUGAGGUAGUCCACAAGUGCAAGUAUUAUUAAGAAACUGCAAUCUUCAGCAAUUUUACUAAUUUGGUAUGAUCAAUGAUUUUAUCACAUCAGAUUAGCUCCACUUCCAGGAUUGGCGUUUGGUAGUCAUCAUCUCCCAAUAUGAACUGAGUUUAUGCGAGGCUGACACCUUGUUUACAAGGCACGUUAUAAUUGCAGGCCGACCACAGAAUAGCAUAAUCCAUAUUACUCGAAUUUAUUAUGAAUUCUUCAUCCCUGAUGCUCAAAUCUCCCUUCUAAUGCAGCUAUCGACAUUGAACUAAAGAUGCCUGCAAGAGGAAAACGCAUUCAAUCAGUUUCUUCUGUAUAAUAUUUGAAACUUCUGACUUAUUGCAUUAAGACCAAAUGAAAUCUCUGGCUACAAGCUGAAUAUUGCCUCCUUUCCACUGGAAUUCUUCCUGCUGGUGACCCUUCUUGUCAGUUAUUAUCCCUUUUGGGGGAUAGUUUGUUGCUUUCAGGGUCUUGAGCCAAGGGGCUAUCGGAAACAACCUCUCUACUUGCAUAAGGUAGGGGUAAGGCUGCGUCCUAACAACCCUACCCAAACCCCACUUGUGAAAAUACAUUGAGUUUGUUGUUCUUGUUAUCAAUUUAUUGCUUUCAGGGUGUUUUACGCAUAGAAAGCAAUCCCUUGAGCGAUUGGCAUUGGACCAUUCUUUUAAGAUGCGGAGACAUGAAAUCUUAGUUCAAGAGCUAUAUUGUAAGUUUCAUAGGUGCUCUCAACUGUUUGCAACUAUUCACCUAACCAUGCAUGACGUACCAGACGAAAGUAACAAUUGUUGAUGGACGAGGUAGACCUAAAAUCACAUGAAAGAAAGUUGUCCCGAAAGAACUACUAAUCCUUUGAAUCAAUGCAGACUUAGCUAAAGAUAGGGCAUAAUUGAAGAAAAGGAUCCAUAUAUGUGAUACUUACUACCUAGGAAUAGGGUUUAAAUUUGUUAGAGAACUUUUAAUAUUAUUAUUAUUAUUAUUAUUAUUAUUAUUAUUAUUAUUAUUAUUAUUAUUAUUACUUUAUAUAUAUACUCCCUCCGUUAUUUCCUUUUUAGUCCGUGCCAAAAAGAAUAACAAAUUUCUCUAUUUGGAAACAAUUUACCUUUAUGCAAUGAUUUAUAGCCACACAAAAUUUAUGUGCCUCAUUUUACACCAACAACAACAACAACAACAACUACCCAGUAUACUCCCACCAGGUGGGGUCUGGGGAANNN